GUGACCUCAAAUCAGGUAGGACUACCCGCUGAACUUAAGCAUAUCAAUAAGCGGAGGAAAAGAAACUAACAAGGAUUCCCCUAGUAACUGCGAGUGAAGCGGGAAAAGCUCAAAUUUAAAAUCUGGCAGCCUUUGGUUGUCCGAGUUGUAAUCUAGAGAAGUGUUAUCCGCGCUGGACCGUGUACAAGUCUCCUGGAAUGGAGCGUCAUAGAGGGUGAGAAUCCCGUCUUUGACACGGACUGCCAGGGCUUUGUGAUGCGCUCUCAAAGAGUCGAGUUGUUUGGGAAUGCAGCUCAAAAUGGGUGGUAAAUUCCAUCUAAAGCUAAAUAUUGGCGAGAGACCGAUAGCGAACAAGUACCGUGAGGGAAAGAUGAAAAGAACUUUGGAAAGAGAGUUAAACAGUACGUGAAAUUGCUGAAAGGGAAACGCUUGAAGUCAGUCGCGUUGUCCAGGGAUCAACCUUGCUUUUGCUUGGUGCACUUUCUGGUUGACGGGUCAGCAUCAAUUUUGACUAUUGGAAAAAGAUUAGGGGAAUGUGGCAUCUUUGGAUGUGUUAUAGCCCUUGGUUGCAUACAAUGGUUGGGAUUGAGGAACUCAGCACGCCGCAAGGCCGGGUUU
RNAcentral lists this ribosomal RNA (618 nucleotides) under Cortinarius fillionii. Its description in RNAcentral is "eukaryotic LSU rRNA". It matches the Rfam family "Eukaryotic large subunit ribosomal RNA", at positions 1 to 618 of the family's 3401-position model. Lineage: Eukaryota; Fungi; Basidiomycota; Agaricomycetes; Agaricales; Cortinariaceae. The record is from RNAcentral.